UACGUAGGGGGCAAGCGUUGUCCGGAAUCAUUGGGCGUAAAGCGCGUGUAGGCGGUUCGGUAAGUCUGCUGUGAAAGUCCAGGGCUCAACCCUGGGAUGCCGGUGGAUACUGUCGGACUAGAGUACGGAAGAGGCGAGUGGAAUUCCCGGUGUAGCGGUGAAAUGCGCAGAUAUCGGGAGGAACACCAAUUGCGAAGGCGGCAUCCUGGACCAACACUGACACUGAGGAGCGAAAGCCAGGGGAGCAAACGGG
Molecule: ribosomal RNA, 253 nt
Filed under: uncultured bacterium
Lineage: Bacteria
Description: partial 16S ribosomal RNA
Rfam family: Bacterial small subunit ribosomal RNA
Source: RNAcentral